CAGCCAGCUGUUCACCACUUUCCUCCGACUGAAGACUGGCUCUUUUAUAGAGGAUCUUAUUGGGAGAAACCAUUCACAGGUGAGCCAUUAUAAAUACACAUGUCAUCAUAAUUGGUAUAACGAUAAUCUAUAAUAUUCUGUGCAUGUAUGAUCAGUGGUUUGUAGCCAGCUGUUAAUUUAACCCCAAAACCCACAUUAUAACUGACCAUAAUAGAAAUACAUUCCCAACUACAACAGAAACCCCUACGCCCAUCCCGCCACUUGGUUCGUCCCGGAACCUUCUUUAGUCAGUGUUUGUUUUCCCCCGAGGACCUUUUGGCCAAACACACUGGAGCGGACACAGGACGAAAUAGCAUGGGUGGAGCCGAGAACCGACCAGCAUCUGCCAGACGACAUUCCAAAUAAUACGGUUUAAUCAUUUAACAACUACUACAUCAAUAAAUAGUAUAUAUUAUAUAAAAAUGUGCAAAUAGGCCAUGUCAAACUGUACUGUGUAAAUCAUGCUAAUAAAGUGCAAACUGUUCACUAAA
Gymnodraco acuticeps is the source of this 530-nucleotide long non-coding RNA. RefSeq lists it as uncharacterized. NCBI's taxonomy places the organism in Eukaryota, Metazoa, Chordata, Actinopteri, Perciformes, Bathydraconidae. The transcript is spliced from 2 exons. The record is from RefSeq and is a predicted model, not a curated record.